Molecule: non-coding RNA, 125 nt
Filed under: Ananas comosus (pineapple)
Lineage: Eukaryota; Viridiplantae; Streptophyta; Magnoliopsida; Poales; Bromeliaceae
Description: TPP sequence
Rfam family: TPP riboswitch aptamer (THI element)
About the family: Vitamin B(1) in its active form thiamin pyrophosphate (TPP) is an essential coenzyme that is synthesised by coupling of pyrimidine and thiazole moieties in bacteria.
Source: Rfam by way of RNAcentral
AGUAAGCACCAGGGGUGCUCCGCCAGUCGAUCCUACAAGUGAUAAAAUGACUGGUGAGGGCUGAGAGAGUCCCUUAGAACCUGACCAGGGUAAUACCUGCGUAGGGAGUGUGCUUUUUUUUCUUU